GGCGCGGGGUGCUGCGCUGAGGGCAUGGAGGGUGUGGGCUGGAAGGGGAGCUUAGCUCGGCAGGGACGAACGCGGGGUGGAUGAGGUCGCUUAGCACGGUAGGGAAGCAACGUAGGGCAGAGAUAGCCUGGGGUUUGCUGGGAGAUGGCGUGCUUUGAGGGGACACCGAGAGGGUAUCUCUCCCUCUCCUCUCCUCUCCUCUCAUGUUGCUGGCUCCCUCAAAGCCAUCAUUUGGCUGUGGGCCGGUAGAGGCUGUUACAACCGCUCUGAAUUUAUCAAGAAUUCAGAAGCGAUAACGUCUUGAAAGUGACUCUCCCGGCUGAGGCCCCUUGGUGCUUAAUUUUUUUUCUUAUUUUGAGCCUUCUGGUGGUGGGCAGUGUUGAGGUACAAGGUGGGCGGAAGAGCUCGGGCUGCAGCGGUCGGUACCAGCUGCGAGCACAGCAGGGUGUGUGUGAGCACCGUCCCCUGGCAGCCAGAGCAAUGAACCCCUUCUCUUGUUAAUCAUUUGUUAAAGGUGUCCUUAAGCAGGUUUUGCAUAGCAUUCCUCUUCCUGCUUGUUUAGCAUCUAGGACUUUAAAGAAAGUCGUAACCAGAGUUGUAAGAGAGUUUGUUAACUUAAUGAAUUAUUAAGGUUAAAACAAACAAACAAAAGCUAUACUUAAAAUAAUUGUGGAAAAAUAAUAGUUUAGCCUUUUUGCUUUCAAAAAGAUGUGAGGGUUUGUUGGUUGCUUUAAUAACUGAAAUAAAAAUGCCAGUACUGGGGAAAUAGGCAAUGGGGUUUUGCUACUUUUGGUGUUUAGACUUUGCACAAAUUUGCUGUCUUACUUGGCAGGAGAGUAAUUUUUGGGAGAUAGGAUUUUUUGUUUCUCGCUCACAUGAUCUGUAUUUUAAGUUCAAAAUGCAUAGAGUUAAAUAGUCUUGGAAAGUAUUCACUUAAGGAUAGAAACAGCUGAAAAAAUCACUUGUGGCUUGCAUAUACAGUUUGUGAGCUUUAUUUCUUUAUAAGUCAGAGCACCAACACGGUCUAAUUCUAAGGCAUGUUUUGUUGGUUAGGUCUGUUUCUCAUAGUGGUUUCCUGAUAGUGAUCUUUAGCUUUCACAGGAUAAUUUUGAAUUUUAAUACAGUAACAGGAGAAAAGUGUGUACAAAAAGUCAGCUGUUGCUGAAACUAUCGCUGCUGUUGACUGGAUACAAAAUGAUGGUUUAUAUGGUGUUGGUACUUGAUCAAAUGCAAAUUUGAUGCUGGUGCAUCCAUCCACAGGUUUCUAGGGAGUGGUUUCUUCAAGGUAUUUCCUGGAUGGUGGGAAACAGUCCAGAAUGUCUAAUGUGUUGCAAGUACUGUUAUACUCUGCUUUGUUCAUUAGCUUUGUUUCAUCUGUUCAAUUUCUGGUGCCCAGUGAGCAAUAUUCAAGGUUCUGUGACCAAUAUAUGCUAUUUAUAAACUGAGGGAUUCCUGUGACUGAAAUAGUUACCAUUGAGGAAGAAGUGUAUUAAAUGAUUUGUUUUCUCAUUUGUAUUGCAGGUACUUACUAUGAAAGUUAAUAGUCUGGAAGAUAUUUCAGAGAUCACUGGUUUUCCAUAUAUGCAUUGAAAUAAAAUAUACAAGUAAAAUGCACACAUUCACCCACACAUUGUUCCUUAGCAAUAGUUUGUCUAACCUCUUCUUAAAGGCUUUUAGUUUGGUUUAUUCUGAUUAUUUUAUUUUAGUAUUUAUUAUUUAAUCUCACAGAAAGGUUUCCUGAUGAUUAAAAACAUCACUGCUAUUCCUUCUUCCUUCUGUAGAUAUAGAAAACAGUUUGUUACCUUGCUCUCUGCCACUGUAUUCCAUAUUUGAAAUGUGAAAAAUAUGUCCUUUUUGAAAAAUUUUCUAUAGAUUGAAGACUGCCUCAGGAAUACCAUUCCACUAGGAUAUGAUAGGUGGCAACCUUUAGCUUUGAUAAUUCUUGUUUCCUUUUUUGGACCCCUUUGAUGGAGAACAGAUCUUUCCUUGAGGCAUGUUCCUAAAAGCUGGAUAUACCACUCCUCAGCUGAGGGCUUCCCAUGCAGAGUCUGUUUUGCAGGCUGCUCUCAGGUUGGAGCUGUAGGAUGUCCUACAGCUGUGCAGCAGUGCCAGCUUGCAGGAGGCUUAUGGCCAGAAGUGUGAGCAGUUUGAGAGCUGCUUUGUGAUCUGUUGUUUGCACUCUGCCUUUGUGCAAUUGCUGUGCUCUUGCUGGGAACAAUUUAAUGCUGCUCAUCUCAGGCUGGUUCGUGAACUGGCCCAGGCCAUCCUGCCCUAGGAAUGCACUCUGCCACUGUGUUCGCCUUGGCUGAUUUUCUGCUUCCUUGAUCUGAGGGACUGGGUUUAUACUCCUGUAGUUGAUUAAAUCCAUAUGUUCAGAUUGUGCUUUUUGAGUUGAUUGAAAUGUAUUUGUAAAUUAUGUUCAAACAUUCGGUAAAGACCGAAUUUUAUCAAUAACAUUAGACUUUGAGGUUUGAAUGUAGGUUUAGGAUUAUUACAGUUUAAUGAGUUGCCUUUCAGAUGAACUGCAGGGUGUGAGCCUGUGUUCAUUCUUAGCAGUUGCAUCUCAAAAUUAAAAUUAGCUUGUCUAAGCUCUUCUUUUGCUGAGGCUUAAGCUGUGUAUUUUGUCUCAUUAUUUCUGGGAGUUAAACCUGUGUUCUGCCUGUAAAAGCUCAGCUUCUGUAAGACAGCUCAUUAAACUUGGCUAAGUGGAAAGGGUACCUGGGCCCAUGGAUUACCCGGGGUUUAUGCAGGGUAAUCAAAACUAGGAUUCUGCCUAAUAGGAAAAUUUGUGUUUGUUCUAAUACUGUUGAAAUCAAAGCAAUUUAAGAGUCUGUGUAACUUUGUGCUUACUCUACAUUAUGAGCUGCAGCAGUUCUGCAAUAAUAGUGUCAAAGCUUCUGGGAAAGUUGCUGUUUGCUGUUUUAUCUUAGCUUUCAGAAUACCCUGUUGUCCCACAGGCUCUGCUGUUAAUGCAGUAAAUAACUUUUGGAUUCUCUGGCAUUAGGUCAUAAAAUCAGUUAGAUUGGAAAAGACCUUUUGGAUGAUCAAGUCCCACCACUAACCGAACACUGCCCGGUCUGCCACUACACCACGUCCCCAAGUGCCAUAUCUUUAUGUAUUAUAAAUAUCUCCAGGAAUGAUGACUCCACUGCUUUUGCAGCUUGUCCUAAUGCUUGACAGUCCUUUUGGUGGAUAUUAGGAAAAAAUUCUUCCAUCUAAACAAAGGAACAAACUGCUGUAGAAUUUAAGGAAUUAAGGUGAUGAAUUAUCACAAUUCAGUUUGUAUAAAGAUCAGUAACUUCCUGUAUUUAUUCCGUAUGUGUUUGUGUUUCACUUUUUUACUCUGUCUAGUUUAAAUCUCGAGUUCCCAAAGCGGUCCUGAUGGUCUUGGAGGUGCGGCUUCCCUUGAGCGUCUGCUGGGUGUUUUAAGGACGGGAGCGAAUCGGAUCUGACCCAGAAGAGGGCAGCAGUGCACUUGCACAAAACCACUGUCUUGGCUCUGUAAAGUCUUCUGUACCAAGCAUUGAAUCGAUUUUAGGAGCAGAAAUGCACCAAUGAAUCCCUUUGUAAAAGUGUAUUCUAACCCCAAAGUCCAGGGACGCUGAUGUUCCAUGUUUCAGCCAGACUUUCCCUCUAAGUAAGAAGGUGAAGCUUAUUUCUCCUGAUACCAGCUUUUUCUACCCUGCAAAUCAGAGGUCAUAAAAGACAUGCCCAUGAGAUAUGUAUCACCUCUUAGUAUUUAUAUAUAUGUAUGUCUUUUAGUUAUAAUAUAUAUAUAUGUAUAAUAUAUAAAAUAUAUAAGUGAUGCACAUUCAAAUUUUGCUCUGACACUACAUCUGAAGUCUCUUCCAGUCAAGUCUCUUUGAGAGUAAGACAUGCUAGUCAGACCUUGCCUUCUUUUAAAUGCUUUCCUUAAUAGAAAUGCUUAAACAUAAUUUACUGGAUAGUCUGAUAAGUAAUUAAUUACUCUUUUUCCUGUGGAUCCAAAAUAAUAAUUUGUAUGAAGAACUUAUCAGAAGUAAGUUGCAUUUAAAAAUGAUUUAUGGCACUGGUGGAGGGACUUUGUGACUUGUGAUUAUAAUCAGAAGAUGGACUGCAGAACAUGCAGGCAUGAGUGGGUGCCAACAGUGUACGUCGUUCUGGGUAUGGGUAGCAGUGGGGCUGUGGCUGUGGUGUUAUGGGUCUCUUCAGAUGGGCUGGCACAUUCCAAGGGAUGCUUUCUGGUAAAACCCCUCUGAGACCUUCUGUUUGCCAUGGUCUGCCCUCUUUUCUUUCAAAAUAGCAUACUGGCUUUUGAAUGGCAGUGCUGGAUACAUGGGUAAUCCUUUUGAACAUUUUUGAUGUUUUAACUGAAUCUCUUAAGAAUUAUUUUAUGUGCAGAAUGAGCCAUUAAUUAACACUCUGAAAUGUCUUUUGUGGGUUUUUUUUUACUUCUGUCAUUUUUACUUGUGGGCCCAGUCUAAAAGACUAUUAAAUGUGUAAUGAUAUUCACCUGUCCUGAUGGUGGUGUAGGCUUAUGAAAGUUGUGUGUGUAUACACAUAGAUCAACAUAGCUCUGUCUACAAAACUGGAACUUCAUUACCACAUAUUUCAGUGUAUGGGUGGGGAGAAUGCUAAUUUGAAGGCAUGAGAUUUGAAAGUGAUGUUGAACACAAAGAUGUCUGUGCUCUGCCAUGUUUCCUAUGAUGCUACAGGUCUGACAUGUCAGUUCAAAACAAAAACUGGCUCCUUUGUUAAUUUUUUUUUAUGGUAAAAAAUCCUGCCUGCAGAUGGUAAAGUGGUCCAUCAAGCAGGUAGGAAUGCUAACAAGGCUUACAUUGCCAGAAUGCUGAAUUGGAAUUUGCAGAGCCACCGUAGAGUAGAAUAUCCUGAUGGUGAGGAAACCUGUGUUGAAUAAUGCUGUCCUGUCCCUUUUUAGGGGGAAAACUUGAGCUCUGCAUUGGAAGGUCAAGUUCCUGGUGGAGAACAUGGCAGGAGGAGGAGGAAGCUCAGCUCAGUGGAUGCAGAGUGGGAGGCUUCCUAUUACUGAUGUGUAAAGUGGGAAAACAGCAACUCUACGUUGAAACUUAACAAGAUAAAAAGGAAAACAGAAGAUAAUAAAUACAAGCUAAAAUGGUGAUCUAACUGUUGUGGGAUUCUACAUGAACAACACUGUGGACGAAUUAUACAGACGUGUGAGCAAAGCUUGGUGUCUUUGUUACUGCGGGUGAGACUUCCCACUGCUCUGAUAUGGCAGCUGUGUCCUUGGGUGUCCUGGAGAUUCCUUUGAGCGAGGCAAUGCUGCUGACUGGUUCUCCUAGCCAGGAACGUGGGGUCUGCCUGGGAAAAGGGCUAUCAACAAUCCAAGGUCAUCUGUGUCUGUUCUCGCUGUUUGUUGCUUUUGCUGGUAGCUGAUAAAGGCCCAACGUCUGAGUAACAGGAGCAGCCAGGGAAGCAUAUGUGGCUUCAUCCCAUUUUUGCAAUACACUCCCUGCCAAGCUGCACCAAGAGCUCUCUGCCUGCAGAGCAGGAAUGGGCCUAUAUAUCCAACAAAACAGGACCAGAGGGACUCAUUAAACUUCCAAACAUGACCUCAAACAGGGUUUCUUAAUUAUCUGAAAAUGUCACCAGUUUGCAUUAGAAAAUCUCAGGGCUUUCUAGAGCUUGGCCAGAUUUUGGUACCUUCUCUCAGUUACACAAAUCUAUCUCCUGUUCUGCAGUGCGAUACAGUCCUAGGCUAUUUUUUUCUGAUCUGUGAAGCAAAAUCAUUAUCCCACGAGUGAAUAUUGUCCAUCCUACCAUAAGUAUUCGAGUGUUUGCCAUUAAGGGAAUAUCACAGCAACAAGAAAAGUUGAACCAGAAAUCCUCAGAGUAGUGAGGUGGGGUGUAGGUUGCUAGUCCGUGGUCGCCGGUUCAGGUGCACGCUAUGCCGUUUGUUUCUUUGCAGCACACACAUCAACUGUGUGCUUGUGACAAGUCGGCAGUUUGUGGUUAGCCUUUCCUGUGGGCAGUCAGAGUACUGAGCAGGGAGGUCUGAAGUUGCAUUCAAUGUCACCUGGACUGCUAUGAUAUUAAAUAAUAUAAUGUAAUAUGAUAAUGGAAAUGUUCGUAAAGAUUACUUCCCAGAACUGUUUUGGGAUAGAUCUCAGCAUCUUGGCAACUCUCCAGCUAACAGAAAGCUUAUUUCUCCUAAGCAGUGCCUGUAACCAAAUGGCUUAGAUUGCUUUGAUGGAAGACAUGCUUCCCUCCAGGGAUAUAUGCCUGGCACAGUACCUAGUAGCUGGAGUUGACCGAGUAGCUGGAAUAGGCAAAGUUUUGGAAAGAGGGACCCUAGACAGGUUCUAAGUUUUAACUUUUUGCAAACUUGUGAUGAAUCCUUACUGAACGGAAAACUGCUGCAUUACACUUGUUUACCUGUCCUCACUAUGAGUAACAAUUAUACUCUUUCUCUUCUCUAUUCAUCUUCCUUUUCUCUCUUGCCCCAGUAUUGGGAAGUUUUAUUUUGUAAAGUAGUUGAGGAGCAAGAGAGAUUUUGGUUCUCUUUGCUUUUUCAAGUUCAGCCCAGAAAGACUGCUAUUUCAGCUUCUGGUACCAUCUCACAAACAUCAGUACUUCCAUUCUGUUAUUCAGUAAGUUGUGAAUGAAAAUGUUUUUCCAGUUUCCUCACUUUUACGUCUUUGACAGUAGUGUGUUUUAAUUGUCUUUACUCGAGUUUCUUCUGGAUGUAUAGAUGCAAAGAAUGGGGAUGGAGGCUUGGUUUUGGUGGUGCUUGUUUGUGUUUUUUAGAAGGAUAGAGGAUGCCUGAAGAGAGAGGAGAUCUUUGAGAGUGGGAGAAAAGUAUGAGAUGACAAA
This is a non-coding RNA of Zonotrichia albicollis (white-throated sparrow), 6831 nucleotides long. Lineage: Eukaryota; Metazoa; Chordata; Aves; Passeriformes; Passerellidae. The record is from RefSeq and is a predicted model, not a curated record.